GUUAUGGCUUAGCGGUAGAGUGCUCGCCUAGCGCAUGCAAGGCUCUGGGUUCAAUCCUCAGCAUCACA
RNAcentral lists this transfer RNA (68 nucleotides) under Marmota monax (woodchuck). Its description in RNAcentral is "tRNA.Ala". The record is from RNAcentral. Lineage: Eukaryota; Metazoa; Chordata; Mammalia; Rodentia; Sciuridae.